GACGAACGCUGGCGGCGUGCUUAACACAUGCAAGUCGAACGGAAAGGCCCUGCUUUUGUGGGGUGCUCGAGUGGCGAACGGGUGAGUAACACGUGAGUAACCUGCCCUUGACUUUGGGAUAACUUCAGGAAACUGGGGCUAAUACCGGAUAGGAGCUCCUGCUGCAUGGUGGGGGUUGGAAAGUUUCGGCGGUUGGGGAUGGACUCGCGGCUUAUCAUCUUGUUGGUGGGGUAGUGGCUUACCAAGGCUUUGACGGGUAGCCGGCCUGAGAGGGUGACCGGCCACAUUGGGCCUGGGAUACGGCCCAGACUCCUACGGGAGGCAGAAGUGGGGAAUAGUGCACAAUGGGCGGAAGCCUGAUGCAGCAACGCCGCGUGCGGGAUGACGGCCUUCGGGUUGUAAACCGCUUUCGCCUGUGACGAAGCGUGAGUGACGGUAAUGGGUAAAGAAGCACCGGCUAACUACGUG
RNAcentral lists this ribosomal RNA (468 nucleotides) under uncultured bacterium. RNAcentral's name for it is "partial 16S ribosomal RNA". It matches the Rfam family "Bacterial small subunit ribosomal RNA", at positions 28 to 507 of the family's 1533-position model. The record is from RNAcentral.